AUAUGUGAAUACAUAGCAUAUCUGAAGGCAGACGCGGAGAACUGAAACAUCUUAGUACCCGCAGGAAGAGAAAGAAAAAUCGAUUCCCUGAGUAGCGGCGAGCGAAACGGGAAGAGCCCAAACCAACGAGCUUGCUUGUUGGGGUUGUAGGACACUCUAUACGGAGUUACAAAAGAACAGACUAGACGAAUCAUCUGGAAAGAUGAAUCAAAGAAGGUAAUAAUCCUGUAGUCGAAAGUUUGUUCACUCUUGAGUGGAUCCUGAGUACGACGGAACACGAGAAAUUCCGUCGGAAUCUGGGAGGACCAUCUCCCAAGGCUAAAUACUCUCUAGUGACCGAUAGUGAACCAGUACCGUGAGGGAAAGGUGAAAAGUACCCCGGAAGGGGAGUGAAAUAGAACUUGAAACCGUGUGCUUACAAGUAGUCAGAGCCCGUUAAUGGGUGAUGGCGUGCCUUUUGUAGAAUGAACCGGCGAGUUACGAUUUGAUGCAAGGUUAAGCAGUGAAUGUGGAGCCGUAGCGAAAGCGAGUCUGAAUAGGGCGUUGAGUAUUUGGUCGUAGACCCGAAACCAGGUGAUCUACCCAUGACCAGGUUGAAGUUCAGGUAACACUGAAUGGAGGACCGAACCGACUUACGUUGAAAAGUGAGCGGAUGAGUUGUGGGUAGCGGAGAAAUUCCAAUCGAACCUGGAGAUAGCUGGUUCUCUCCGAAAUAGCUUUAGGGCUAGCCUCAAGUGAUGAUUAUUGGAGGUAGAGC
This 757-nucleotide ribosomal RNA is filed under the name Listeria monocytogenes. Its description in RNAcentral is "partial 23S ribosomal RNA". It matches the Rfam family "Bacterial large subunit ribosomal RNA", at positions 154 to 908 of the family's 2925-position model. The record is from RNAcentral. Lineage: Bacteria; Bacillati; Bacillota; Bacilli; Caryophanales; Listeriaceae.